Molecule: ribosomal RNA, 878 nt
Filed under: uncultured eukaryote
Lineage: Eukaryota
Description: SSU rRNA
Rfam family: Eukaryotic small subunit ribosomal RNA
Source: RNAcentral
CGGUGUUCAACUGGCGUGUCCGCGGGACGUCCUGCCGGUGGGCUUAGCCCGCAAGGGCGGCCCAACUUCAAAUCCCAUCGCGGUGCUCUUCACUGAGUGUCGAGGUGGGCCGGCACGUUUACUUUGAACAAAUUAGAGUGCCUUAAAGCAGGCUAAAACUUCGCCUGAAUACUGUGUGCAUGGAAUAAUGGAAUAGGACCUCGGUUCUAUUUUGUUGGUUUUCGGAACCCCGAGGUAAUGAUUAAUAGGAACGGAUGGGGGCAUUCGUAUUGCGACGUUAGAGGUGAAAUUCUUGGAUCGUCGCAAGACGGACAGAAGCGAAAGCAUUUGCCAAAAACGCUUUCAUUGAUCAAGAACGAAAGUUAGAGGUUCGAAGGCGAUCAGAUACCGCCCUAGUUCUAACCAUAAACGAUGCCAGCUAGCGAUCCGUCGACGUUCCUCCGAUGACUCGACGGGCAGCUUCCGGGAAACCAAAGCUUUUGGGUUCCGGGGGAAGUAUGGUUGCAAAGCUGAAACUUAAAGGAAUUGACGGAAGGGCACCACCAGGAGUGGAGCCUGCGGCUUAAUUUGACUCAACACGGGAAACCUCACCAGGCCCGGACACCGGAAGGAUUGACAGGUUGAGAGCUCUUUCUUGAUUCGGUGGGUGGUGGUGCAUGGCCGUUCUUAGUUGGUGGAGCGAUUUGUCUGGUUAAUUCCGAUAACGAACGAGACUCUAGCCUGCUAACUAGGCGUAUUUUCGACAUCUCAAAGGUCCGUCGUCCCGGCCCUCGGGUCGUGGGCGUGCGCGAUUUUUACUGUCGGCGUACUAUCAAUUCUUCUUAGAGGGACAGGUGGCUUCUAGCCGCACGAGAUUGAGCAAUAACAGGUCUGUGAUG